CAGGACUCAGCUAAACACUCACUUCCUCAGGGAAGAAUCUCCUGACUCCUCUGACUAAGCCAUAUUCCCAUGUAGCUUUCCUUUGUAGCAUUUUUCUCAGCUGCCAUUUUAUUUAUUUUCUGGUUGCUUGAUUAAUGUCUACCUCUUCCACUAGUAUGAAAGCUCUGCAAAAGUAGAGAGCACAUUUGUUUUGUGCUCUAUUGUAUCCUCAGCACCAAGGCAGUGGUACCCAGUAGAUCAUCAACAGGACCAGCUACAGACAGGACUUGGCCCAGUGCAAAAUGAAAAAGCGGGUCCCCUUGUUCGAAAUUAUUAAAUAUUUCAAAGUGGUGACAGAAGAGCAUUAAACCAAUCCUGGAGACUUCCCCAGCACAGGACUAUGUGCAUCUACACAGGUUGAAAGAGUGAAUUAAAGUUGAGAUCUAAAGCUGUGUAGGAAUUCACCCAAAGAGAGAACACUUGAGGGCAGAAGAUAAGAUUUACGCAAAAGUCGUUUAGAAAAAAAAAGUGAUAGGAGUUCCCGUCAUGGCUCAGCAGAAACGAAUCCAACUAGGAACAAUGAGGUUUUGGGUUUGAUCCCUGGCCUUACUCGGUGGGUUAAGGAUCCAGCGUUGUCCCUGAACUGUGGUGUAGGUUGCAGAUGCGGCUUGGAUCUGGCAUUGCUGUGGCUGAGGCAUAGGCUGGCAGCUACAGCUCCGAUUAGACCCCUAGCCUGGGAACCUCCAUGUGUUAGGGGGAACCUCCAUGUGUCUUUUAAAUGACAAAAGACAAAAAGAAAAGAAAAAAAAAAAGUGAUAGUAGAAAUUUGAGAAACUGAUUGUUUUUAGUCAGAGUGAAGGGAUAAAUCAGAAGCAGAUGAGGGUAGAGGAAGAAGCAAGGUCCGGCUUGGGAUUUAGGACUUUAUUCUACUAGCAAAGGAAGGAUUUAAGGAGAGGCACAGAGUGAUCAAAGAAGCCAUUGGCCUUAGGUGGGGAAACCAUCUAUUUUCCUUCUUCCCACAUUUCUGUAUUUUUUAAAAUUUCCUUCCAAUCUCAUGCAGAGAAAAACUAAGAGCCUUACAGUGGACCUAAAAUGGUCUAUAAGGCCCACAAGGAACUUAACUCCCCACCUUCUGUCUCCUCACUCCAGCCAGUCUUUCAAAGGUCUAGUCACUCUCCCUCCUGAAGUACCUGAUCACCCUCUGAGCCUGGAGCACCCCCUAAAGCAUCCACCUGCCCCACCUCUUUGUCGGGUUCUUAGUCAAAUUUACCUUCUCAGCGAAGCCUUCCUCAGCAAUAACUACCUAUCCAUACACAUAAACUCCUCAUUUUUACCUUUAUCCUUGGGUCUCACCACCACCUAAGAUACCAUUUUAGAGGUUUUCCGUCCUGCCCUGCCCCUCCUCACCCAACCCAGAAAGUAAGCUUCUGGAGGGCAGGAAUUUUUGUCUGUUUUGUUGGCUGCUUUGUUCCCAGAGCCUAGAUCGCUGUCUGGGAUACAAAAAUAACUUAAUAAAUAACUGUAAAAUAAACAAAUGCAUUUUCUGUGUAAGCGGUAUGAAACACUCCAUAAAUGGCAAACAGUCCCAGUUGUUUAAGGUCACUCAGAUGUGAAAUGAAAGACCUCUCUCUCUCUCUCUGGUCUUUCUCCAACCCCCACACCCCCAAAUUAUUCCAUUCAAAGGAAGACAGUCUUCCCACUUCCCUUAGGUUCAUCACUGCCCUUACUCCUCAUUUACCACCAAUAGGUGUCAAUAUGGAGAAACAGCCCUCCACAGCCUUAGCAGAUGAUGCUGAUACUUCUCCAAGAGAGACCUUGGAAUUUUGUCACAGAACCUAAAUUAUCAACCCACACUCCCCUUCCUCAAAGAAAGUAGGGAUUUGUUGCUCUGGCUGCCAUUUUCCUCCAGACCCGAGGUAUCCUCCCUCUUCUGCCUUGGCUGGGUGUGGAAAGAGGAGGACCUAGUCACAGAAAGAGCUCCCAACUACAAAUCUCUAAGAGAAGAGAUUCAGCAGGGAGCAUCUCUCUCCUCCCUUCCCAAGCACCUGGCUGGCCCCUUUAUGCAAAUCAUCUACCUUCUCCCUAGAGAUCAGCUUUGUGUACCUGGGCAGCUGGAAUGAAGAAAAUGUUCUGGAGUGUCUCACUCCUACCUACAUUUGAGUAACUGAAAGGCCCCCUCUAGUAACUCAGUGUAGCUCUUUGUAGAACUAUUUUCCUUUCAAGAAAGAAAGGAAGGAAGGAAAUGGCUCCCACGAAAUACAGAUAAAAAUAUUCUCAUUUUAAUCUGGAAUUCACAAAUCUCAUCUUGAUUUGGGAGCUGGUAAUCCAGUCAGCUCAGAAAUCUCAUGUAGGAGUUCCUUGCCGCUCAGAGGGUUAAAAACCCAACUGGUAUCCAUGAGGGCGAGGGUUUGAACCCUGGGCUCAAGCUCAGUGGGUUAAGAAUCAGGUGUUGCCACACCUGUAGUGUAGGUCACAGAUACAGCUCAAAUAUGGUGUUGCUAUGCUUGUGGUGUAGGCCAGCAGCUGCAGCUCUGAUAUGACCCCUAGCCUGGGAACUCCCAUAUGUCACGGGUGUGGCUUUAAAAAAAAAAAAAAAAAAAAAAA
This 2583-nucleotide long non-coding RNA is filed under the name Sus scrofa (pig). Its description in RNAcentral is "lncRNA (ENSSSCG00025010421.1)". Lineage: Eukaryota; Metazoa; Chordata; Mammalia; Artiodactyla; Suidae. The record is from RNAcentral.